GAUGAACGCUGGCGGCGUGCCUAAUACAUGCAAGUCGAGCGAAAAGACGAGGCGCUUGCUCCUCUGACGUUAGCGGCGGACGGGUGAGUAACACGUGGAUCACCUACCUAUCAGACUGGGAUCACUUCGGGACACCGGCGCUAAUCCCGGAUAAUCUCUUGAACCGCAUGGUUCGUUAGUGAGUGACGGUUUUGCUGUCACUUCUAGAUGGAUCCGCGCCGCAUUAGGUAGUUGUUAAGGUAAAGGCUUACCAAGGCAACGAUGCGUAGCCGACCUGAGGGGGUGAUCGGCGACACGGGAACGGAGACACGGUCCAGACUCCUACGGGAGGCAGCAGUAGGGAAUCGGCCGCAAUGGGCGAAAGCCUGACGGAGCAACGCCGCGUGAGUGAUGAAGGUCUUCGGAUCGUAAAACUCUGUUAUUAGGGAAGAACAAAUGUGUAAGUAACUAUGCACGUCUUGACGGUACCUAAUCAGAAAGCCACGGCUAACUACGUG
Molecule: ribosomal RNA, 497 nt
Filed under: uncultured bacterium
Lineage: Bacteria
Description: partial 16S ribosomal RNA
Rfam family: Bacterial small subunit ribosomal RNA
Source: RNAcentral